GAGCGGCGUACGGGUGCGUAACACGUGUGCAACCUGCCUUUAUCUGGGGGAUAGCCUUUCGAAAGGAAGAUUAAUACCCCAUAAUAUGGUGUCCGGCAUCGGUCGCCAUUGAAAGCCUCGGCGGAUAGAGAUGGGCACGCGCAAGAUUAGAUAGUUGGCGGGGUAACGGCCCACCAAGUCGAUGAUCUUUAGGGGUCCUGAGAGGGAGAUCCCCCACACUGGUACUGAGACACGGACCAGACUCCUACGGGAGGCAGCAGUGAGGAAUAUUGGACAAUGGGUGGAAGCCUGAUCCAGCCAUCCCGCGUGAAGGAUGACGGUCCUAUGGAUUGUAAACUUCUUUUGUACAGGGAUAAACCUGCCCUCGUGAGGGCAGCUGAAGGUACUGUACGAAUAAGCACCGGCUAACUCCGUGCCAGCAGCCGCGGUAAUACGGAGGGUGCGAGCGUUAUCCGGAUUUAUUGGGUUUAAAGGGUCCGUAGGCGGGCCUGUAAGUCAGUGGUGAAAUCUCAUAGCUUAACUAUGAAACUGCCAUUGAUACUGCAGGCCUUGAGUAAAUUUGAAGUGGCUGGAAUAAGUAGUGUAGCGGUGAAAUGCAUAGAUAUUACUUAGAACACCGAUUGCGAAGGCAGGUCACUAAGAUUUAACUGACGCUGAUGGACGAAAGCGUGGGGAGCGAACAGGAUUAGAUACCCUGGUGGUCCACGCCGUAAACGAUGCUAACUCGUUUUUGGAUCUUCGGGUUCAGAGACCAAGCGAAAGUGAUAAGUUAGCCACCUGGGGAGUACGUCCGCAAGGAUGAAACUCAAAGGAAUUGACGGGGGCCCGCACAAGCGGUGGAUUAUGUGGUUUAAUUCGAUGAUACGCGAGGAACCUUACCAAGACUUAAAUGGGAAUUGACAGAUUUAGAAAUAGAUCCUCCUUCGGGCAAUUUUCAAGGUGCUGCAUGGUUGUCGUCAGCUCGUGCCGUGAGGUGUUAGGUUAAGUCCUGCAACGAGCGCAACCCCUGCCAACAGUUGCCAUCAUUCAGUUGGGGACUCUGUUGGGACUGCCUACGCAAGUAGAGAGGAAGGUGGGGAUGACGUCAAAUCAUCACGGCCCUUACGUCUUGGGCCACACACGUAAUACAAUGGCCGGUACAGAGGGCAGCUACCUGGUGACAGGAUGCGAAUCUCGAAAGCCGGUCUCAGUUCGGAUUGGAGUCUGCAACUCGACUCUAUGAAGCUGGAAUCGCUAGUAAUCGCGCAUCAGCCAUGGCGCGGUGAAUACGUUCCCGGGCCUUGUACACACCGCCCGUCAAGCCAUGGAAGUCUGGGGUACCUGAAGUCGGUGACC
Molecule: ribosomal RNA, 1335 nt
Filed under: uncultured bacterium
Lineage: Bacteria
Description: 16S ribosomal RNA
Rfam family: Bacterial small subunit ribosomal RNA
Source: RNAcentral